AUGCUGUCAAAACGAACCUUGGCUAAACUGCUCGAGGACUGCAUUAAAGCCGUUGCCGUCAUCCUCGUAGCUGCUGUCGUCUUCUACACCGAAUGCUACCUCAGGAAUGGCCACGCUACGUUCAUGAAAAUUGUAAAGACCCGGUACCAAAAUGGAAAAUUCCCCAAGCUAGAUAGUGCUGUGAUGGUUGUGCUGUCCAGAAGACUCUGUUUGGUAGGCUUAGUUGGGGCCAACCUAUUUGUACCAACAUUUCUUUUAGCAACUAUAGUAUUUUUUUUUUUUGCGGAUGAGCAACUAUAG
This 300-nucleotide ribosomal RNA is filed under the name Triticum aestivum (bread wheat). Its description in RNAcentral is "partial small subunit ribosomal RNA". The record is from RNAcentral. Lineage: Eukaryota; Viridiplantae; Streptophyta; Magnoliopsida; Poales; Poaceae.